UACGGGGGGGGCAAGCGUUGUUCGGAAUUACUGGGCGUAAAGGGCGCGUAGGCGGUUUGCUAAGUUGAAUGUGAAAACUCUGGGCUUAACCCAGAGCCUGCAUUCAAUACUGGCAGGCUAGAGUUCUGGAGGGGAUAGCGGAAUUCCUGGUGUAGCGGUGAAAUGCGUAGAUAUCAGGAGGAACACCGGUGGCGAAGGCGGCUAUCUGGACAGUUCCUGACGCUGAGGCACGAAGGUCAGGGGAGCAAACGGG
RNAcentral lists this ribosomal RNA (253 nucleotides) under uncultured bacterium. RNAcentral describes it as "partial 16S ribosomal RNA". It matches the Rfam family "Bacterial small subunit ribosomal RNA", at positions 524 to 776 of the family's 1533-position model. The record is from RNAcentral.